CAACUUUCAACAAUGGAUCUCUUGGCUCUGGCAUCGAUGAAGAACGCAGCGAAAUGCGAUAAGUAGUGUGAAUUGCAGAAUUCAGUGAAUCAUCGAAUCUUUGAACGCACAUUGCGCCCCUUGGUAUUCCAUGGGGCAUGCCUGUUCGAGCGUCAUUG
RNAcentral lists this ribosomal RNA (158 nucleotides) under Trematosphaeria pertusa. RNAcentral describes it as "5.8S ribosomal RNA". It matches the Rfam family "5.8S ribosomal RNA". From Rfam's summary of the family: 5.8S ribosomal RNA (5.8S rRNA) is a component of the large subunit of the eukaryotic ribosome. RNAcentral also lists the same sequence under 4 other names. The record is from RNAcentral. Lineage: Eukaryota; Fungi; Ascomycota; Dothideomycetes; Pleosporales; Trematosphaeriaceae.